RNAcentral lists this ribosomal RNA (497 nucleotides) under uncultured bacterium. Its description in RNAcentral is "partial 16S ribosomal RNA". It matches the Rfam family "Bacterial small subunit ribosomal RNA", at positions 28 to 507 of the family's 1533-position model. The record is from RNAcentral.
GAUGAACGCUGGCGGCGUGCCUAAUACAUGCAAGUCGAGCGAACAGACGAGGAGCUUGCUCCUCUGACGUUAGCGGCGGACGGGUGAGUAACACGUGGAUAACCUACCUAUAAGACUGGGAUAACUUCGCGAAACCGGAGCUAAUACCGGAUAAUAUAUUGAACCGCAUGGUUCAAUAGUGGAAGACGGUUUUGCUGUCACUUAUAGAUGGAUCCGCGCCGCAUUAGCUAGUUGGUAAGGUAACGGCUUACCAAGGCAACGAUGCGUAGCCGACCUGAGAGGGUGAUCGGCCACACUGGAACUGAGACACGGUCCAGACUCCUACGGGAGGCAGCAGUAGGGAAUCUUCCGCAAUGGGCGAAAGCCUGACGGAGCAACGCCGCGUGAGUGAUGAAGGUCUUCGGAUCGUAAAACUCUGUUAUUAGGGAAGAACAAAUGUGUAAGUAACUAUGCACGUCUUGACGGUACCUAAUCAGAAAGCCACGGCUAACCACGUG